GUGUUCCUACGGGGCGCAGCAGUGAGGAAUAUUGGUCAAUGGGCGAGAGCCUGAACCAGCCAAGUCGCGUGAGGGAAGACGGUCCUAUGGAUUGUAAACCUCUUUUGCCGGGGAGCAAAGUGCCGCACGUGUGCGGUUUGGAGAGUACCCGGAGAAAAAGCAUCGGCUAACUCCGUGCCAGCAGCCGCGGUAAUACGGAGGAUGCGAGCGUUAUCCGGGUUUAUUGGGUUUAAAGGGUGCGUAGGCGGACGCUUAAGUCAGCGGUAAAAUUGCGGGGCUCAACCUCGUCGCGCCGUUGAGACUGG
This 305-nucleotide ribosomal RNA is filed under the name uncultured bacterium. Its description in RNAcentral is "bacterial SSU rRNA". It matches the Rfam family "Bacterial small subunit ribosomal RNA", at positions 333 to 636 of the family's 1533-position model. The record is from RNAcentral.